UCAAUUGCUGGAUGGUAUUGUAAUGAAUGG
This 30-nucleotide non-coding RNA is filed under the name Macaca fascicularis (crab-eating macaque). RNAcentral also lists the same sequence under 1 other name. Lineage: Eukaryota; Metazoa; Chordata; Mammalia; Primates; Cercopithecidae. The record is from RNAcentral.